This 637-nucleotide ribosomal RNA is filed under the name Ascomycota sp. X5. RNAcentral's name for it is "eukaryotic LSU rRNA". The stretch from base 193 to 346 matches the Rfam family "5.8S ribosomal RNA". Lineage: Eukaryota; Fungi; Ascomycota. The record is from RNAcentral.
CAAUUAGCUUCGUAGUGACCUGCGGAAGGUCAUUCACAAUGAGUGUUUUAUGGCACUCUUUAAAAAUCCAUAUCCACCUUGUGUGCAAUGUUUGUUGGGAGAGAGGCAACUCUUUCCCUUCACAAAUAUCAACCUAUAUCUUUAACAACAUUCGUCUGAUAACAUAUUAUGAAUAUACUUAAUUCAAAAUAUAACUUUCAACAACGGAUCUCUUGGCUCUCGCAUCGAUGAAGAACGCAGCGAAAUGCGAUACGUAAUGUGAAUUGCAGAAUUCAGUGAAUCAUCGAAUCUUUGAACGCAUAUUGCGCUCUUUGGUAUUCCGAAGAGCAUGCUUGUUUGAGUAUCAGUAAACACCUCAACCUCCUCUUGUUUUUUCAAAAGGAGGGUGGACUUGAGCUAUCCCAACAACCUUCACCGGUAGGCGGGCGGCUUGAAAUGCAGGUGCAGCUGGACUUUUAUCUGAGCUAAAAGCAUAUCUAUUUAGUCCUCGUCAAACAGGAUUAUUACUAUUGCUGCAGCUAACAUAAAGGAUAAUUGUCCUCAUUGCUGACUGAUGCAGGAUUUUACGACACUUUAUGUGUUGUUCAACUCGAUCUCAAAUCAAGUAAGACUACCCGCUGAACUUAAGCAUUAACAG